RNAcentral lists this ribosomal RNA (468 nucleotides) under uncultured bacterium. Its description in RNAcentral is "partial 16S ribosomal RNA". It matches the Rfam family "Bacterial small subunit ribosomal RNA", at positions 28 to 507 of the family's 1533-position model. The record is from RNAcentral.
GACGAACGCUGGCGGCGUGCUUAACACAUGCAAGUCGAACGGAAAGGCCCUGCUUGUUUGGGGUUCUCGAGUGGCGAACGGGUGCGUAACACGUGAGUAACCUGCCCUUGACUUUGGUAUAGCUUCAGGAAACUGGAGCUAAUACCGGAUAGGAUCUCCUGCUGCAGGGUGGGGGGUGGAAAUUUUCGGCGGUUGGGGAUGGACGCGCGGGUGAUGAGCUAGUUGGUCGGCGAGUUGCUGCCCAACGGUUUGACUGGUAGCCGGCCUGGGAGGGUGAACGGGCACAUGGGGCCUGAGGUACGGCGCAGACUCCAAUGGGGGACAGCGGUGGGGAAUAUUGCCCAGUGGGCGGGCGUGUGAGGAAGAGACGCCGGGUGCGGGAUGACGGCCUGCGGGUUGUGAAACGCUUCAGCUUGUGACGACGCUUGAGUGACGGUAAUGGGUAAAGAAGCACCGGCUAACUACGUG